CGCCUUUUUUCUUCGUGUCCUCGCGACGGCGGUUACGAGCGAAAACUUCUAGAGCAAUUUAGGUCACCAACAACAGGGAUCAUGUCAUCAAUGGAGCGCGGAGAUCGCCCCCGUGCCCUUCUCUGCUGCCGAAAACACUGUUUGUCUUCAUCUUAAAAGCGAGGAUCGGCACUUGAACUCCGAGCAAUUGAAUGAGGAAAGGAAUACCUUGUAACAGUUUCAACCAACAAUGUAGAAGAGAAAAGGAGACAGGGGGGUAAAGAGGAGGAGAACAUGGAGAGGUACAAGAAGUAAACCUGGAGAGGCAGGAAAUGAGACAAUACAGACUGGAAGGGAAUGUAGGGAAAGAUUGGAAAGGAACAGGGAGACAGGAAGAGAACAGAGACAGGAAUAGGACAGAAAGACAGGAAGGAAACAGAUGGGAAGUGGAGAUAGUAACAGGAAUGGAAAAGAAACAGACAGCAAGGGAGACAUAAAGGGAUCAGGGAGACAAGAAGGGAACAGAGAGAGGAAGGGAAGAGACAGACAGGAAGGCAAUAGAGACAGUGACAGGAGGAAAGCAGAGGGAAAGACUGGAUGGGAAUAGAGACAGGAAUUGAACAGAGAGAAACAGGAAGGGAACAGAGAGGCAGAUAGGAGAAGU
Long non-coding RNA from Brienomyrus brachyistius, 643 nucleotides. RefSeq lists it as uncharacterized. The record is from RefSeq and is a predicted model, not a curated record. NCBI's taxonomy places the organism in Eukaryota, Metazoa, Chordata, Actinopteri, Osteoglossiformes, Mormyridae. The transcript is spliced from 3 exons.